UACGUAUGGGGCAAGCGUUAUCCGGAUUUACUGGGUGUAAAGGGAGUGUAGGCGGCAUGGCAAGUCAGAAGUGAAAGGCUGGGGCUCAACCCCGGGACUGCUUUUGAAACUGUCAGGCUAGAGUGUCGGAGGGGUAAGCGGAAUUCCUAGUGUAGCGGUGAAAUGCGUAGAUAUUAGGAGGAACACCGGUGGCGAAGGCGGCUUACUGGACGACUACUGACGCUGAGGCUCGAAAGCGUGGGGAG
This 245-nucleotide ribosomal RNA is filed under the name uncultured Lachnospiraceae bacterium. Its description in RNAcentral is "partial 16S ribosomal RNA". It matches the Rfam family "Bacterial small subunit ribosomal RNA", at positions 524 to 768 of the family's 1533-position model. Lineage: Bacteria; Bacillati; Bacillota; Clostridia; Lachnospirales; Lachnospiraceae. The record is from RNAcentral.